This 799-nucleotide long non-coding RNA is filed under the name Equus caballus (horse). RNAcentral's name for it is "lncRNA (ENSECAG00000054775.1)". Lineage: Eukaryota; Metazoa; Chordata; Mammalia; Perissodactyla; Equidae. The record is from RNAcentral.
CCAGGAAUUCAGGCCCCUCAGGAAGGAUGGUUUGGGAAACACCACCAUUUUCCCCUCAGGAAGAGAGGCCCACCAGAACCCCAGAAGAGCUGCUCCACAACUGUGCUAUGAAGUGGAGCCACACGGGACACAAGUGUGUGCUUCUGGAAGAAUCUAACUGGAACAGAUGUGUCCAAGAGGCCCCUGAAUUCAAGCUGUUCCCUGCUCCCAAUCCUGGGAGGUGUGACCUGACUAAUCAGAACUGCUAUUUUCUCAUAUAUAAAAUUAAAGACAUUUCUUUCUUAUCUACAUUAUAUGAUUAUUGUGAUGCUAAAUGAAUAUGUGCAGGAAAAUGCUAUGCAAUUUGAAAAGCACUAUGUAAACUAUUAUAGUUUUUAUUGAAAGGCUGAAAGAGUUAAAGCAUUUCCCGGAUUACCUAACCAUCCUCAACAGUUAAAAAAAAAAUCCAGACAGAUGAUCAUUUUCAAGCCCUUUCAAAGCUAGUAUGGUGGAUGUGGUUUUUCUGUAGCUUUACUUAUCCCCAGGGAGUAAUUUAUACACUCAAAGAUCUUGCUUGACAAUCAGAUACAGACCUAAAUAAAGAAUUGUUUGGUACUAUGGUAACCUGCCAUGGGAAUUUCGGUUUCUUUCUUUCCCUUUCUAGGAUAACAAUUCCUAAGACAGAGGAAAUGAGAAACAUUGAAACAACUCUUUUGACAAAACACUGUGGCCAGCGCAUUGGGGAAAAAUACUUCACACCUAUAUGAUCACGAACCAAUUUUCUCUAGCACUAUUGUGAUAAGACAAUUUUAUAUCUGUG